This 869-nucleotide ribosomal RNA is filed under the name uncultured archaeon. RNAcentral's name for it is "bacterial SSU rRNA". It matches the Rfam family "Archaeal small subunit ribosomal RNA", at positions 87 to 958 of the family's 1478-position model. The record is from RNAcentral.
GGCUCAGUAACACGUAGUCAAUCUGCCCUAUGGACGUGGAUAACCUCGGGAAACUGAGAAUAAUCCGCGAUAGAUCAUAAUGCCUGGAACGGUUUAUGGUCCAAAUGAUUCGUCGCCAUAGGAUGGGACUGCGGCCUAUCAGCUUGUUGGUGAGGUAAUGGCCCACCAAGGCUAUUACAGGUACGGGCUCUGAGAGGAGAAGCCCGGAGAUGGGUACUGAGAUACGGACCCAGGCCCUAUGGGGCGCAGCAGGCGAGAAACCUUUGCAAUGUGCGCAAGCACGACAAGGUUAAUCCGAGUGUUUCCUGCUAAAGGAAUCUUUUGUUAGUUCUAAAACCACUGAUGAAUAAGGGGUGGGCAAGUUCUGGUGUCAGCCGCCGCGGUAAAACCAGCACCUCAAGUGGUCAGGAGGAUUAUUGGGCCUAAAGCAUCCGUAGCCGGUUCUGUAAGUUUCCGGUUAAAUCCACUAGCUCAACUAAUGGGCUGCCGGAAAUACUGCAGAACUAGGGAGUGGGAGAGGUAGACGGUACUCGGGAGGAAGGGGUAAAAUCCUUUGAUCUCUUGAUGACCACCUGUGGCGAAGGCGGUCUACCANAACACGUUCGACGGUGAGGGAUGAAAGCUGGGGGAGCAAACCGGAUUAGAUACCCGGGUAGUCCCAGCUGUAAACGAUGCAGACUCGGUGAUGCACUGGCUUUUGGCCAGUGCAGUGCCGCAGGGAAGCCGUUAAGUUUGCCGCCUGGGAAGUACGUACGCAAGUAUGAAACUUAAAGGAAUUGGCGGGGGAGCACCACAAGGGGUGAAGCCUGCGGUUCAAUUGGAUUCAACGCCGGAAAGGGCGAAUUCGCGGCCGCUAAAUUCAAUUCGCC